This 490-nucleotide ribosomal RNA is filed under the name uncultured Sphingobacteriales bacterium. RNAcentral describes it as "bacterial SSU rRNA". It matches the Rfam family "Bacterial small subunit ribosomal RNA", at positions 904 to 1382 of the family's 1533-position model. Lineage: Bacteria; Pseudomonadati; Bacteroidota; Sphingobacteriia; Sphingobacteriales. The record is from RNAcentral.
CCCGCUCAGAAACUCAAGGAAUUGACGGGGGCCCGCACAAGCGGUGGAGCAUGUGGUUUAAUUCGAUGAUACGCGAGGAACCUUACCUGGGCUCAAAUGUAUGUUGACGUAUUCUGAAAGGGAUACUUCUUCGGACAAUAUACAAGGUGCUGCAUGGUUGUCGUCAGCUCGUGCCGUGAGGUGUCGGGUUAAGUCCCAUAACGAGCGCAACCCCUAUCAUUAGUUGCCAUCAGGUCAAGCUGGGGACUCUAAUGAAACUGCCUACGCAAGUAGUGAGGAAGGUGGGGAUGACGUCAAAUCAGCACGGCCUUACGUCCAGGGCUACACACGUGCUACAAUGGCCGGUACAAAGGGCAGCUACCUGGUGACAGGAUGCUAAUCUCAAAAGCCGGUCUCAGUUCGGAUUGGAGGCUGCAACUCGCCUCCAUGAAGUCGGAAUCGCUAGUAACCGCAGAUCAGCUACGUUGCGGUGAAUACGUUCCCGGGCCUU